Molecule: ribosomal RNA, 628 nt
Filed under: Gigaspora margarita
Lineage: Eukaryota; Fungi; Glomeromycota; Glomeromycetes; Diversisporales; Gigasporaceae
Description: partial large subunit ribosomal RNA
Rfam family: Eukaryotic large subunit ribosomal RNA
Source: RNAcentral
GCGAGUGAAGCGGGAAGAGCACAAAUUUAAAAUCUACCUGGUUUCCAGGUCGAGUUGUAAUUUGAAGAUACGUUUUUGAUGUUCCUGGUUGGACUAAAUCCUUUGGGAUAAGGUAUCAUAAAGGGUGAGAAUCCCAUGUAUACCAACCACAGGGAUGUUAUUUAAUAACGUUUCUAAGAGUCGAGUUGUUUGGGAAUGCAGCUCUAAAUGGGUGGUAAAUUUCACCUAAUGCUAAAUAUAAGCGAGAGACCGAUAGUGAACAAGUACAGUGAUGGAAAGAUGAAAAGAACUUUGAAAAGAGAGUUAAAUAGUACGUGAAAUUGUUGAAAGGGAAACGAUUGAAGUCAGUCAUGCCGACGGGAAUCAACUUAGAGGAAACUCUGGGUGCACUUCUUCGCUUGGCAGGUCAACGUCGAUCUUGAAUGUCAUAAAAUAAUUGGGGGAAGGUAGCUCCUUCGGGAGUGUUAUAGCCCUUGAUAGAUGUGAUGUUUGGGGUCGAGGAUUGCAACGGAUACCCUUUGGGGCUAGCCGCCUGAUCUCUAAUCGGUGUUGGGUUACGGAUAGCAUGCUGACCGUGAUCUAAUUACUGGUUAAAAGGUUAGAGCGUGCAUAAAUUCGUUAAGGACGU